Long non-coding RNA from Marmota monax (woodchuck), 187 nucleotides. RefSeq lists it as uncharacterized. Lineage: Eukaryota; Metazoa; Chordata; Mammalia; Rodentia; Sciuridae. The record is from RefSeq and is a predicted model, not a curated record. The transcript has 2 exons.
GCAGAGACGAGGGCAGGAAGUGACGCAGGGGAAAAAAAGGCUUGGAAAGUCCUCAGAAGAGGAAGGCUGGAAAGAAUUGAAAAACAAGACCAAAAUGACUGGAAAUAGCUGAGGCUGGCUUUGAACUCGUGAUUAUCCUGUCUCAGCAUCCGAAGCCACUGGGAUUAAAGGCAUGCACACAUGCUUA